AAUAAAGUGCCUGAUAAAAAGGAUUAUUCUGAUAGGAUAAAUUAAUGUAAUUUUUUACCUUUAUUA
RNAcentral lists this transfer RNA (66 nucleotides) under Coenonympha phryne. Its description in RNAcentral is "Triphysa phryne tRNA-Ile". Lineage: Eukaryota; Metazoa; Arthropoda; Insecta; Lepidoptera; Nymphalidae. The record is from RNAcentral.